GCGCUUGUAGCUCACUUGGAUAGAGCAGCGGACUUCGAAUCCGCAGGCAGCACGUUCGAAUCGUGUCAGGCGCA
This 74-nucleotide transfer RNA is filed under the name Spirochaetaceae bacterium. RNAcentral's name for it is "tRNA-Arg". It matches the Rfam family "tRNA". Rfam says of the family: Transfer RNA (tRNA) molecules are approximately 80 nucleotides in length. Their secondary structure includes four short double-helical elements and three loops (D, anti-codon, and T loops). Lineage: Bacteria; Pseudomonadati; Spirochaetota; Spirochaetia; Spirochaetales; Spirochaetaceae. The record is from RNAcentral.